Molecule: RNA transcript, 2618 nt
Organism: Vitis vinifera (wine grape)
Lineage: Eukaryota; Viridiplantae; Streptophyta; Magnoliopsida; Vitales; Vitaceae
Gene name: serine/threonine-protein kinase AFC1
Exons: 14
Source: RefSeq, a predicted model, not a curated record
CACGGUUGCAAUAACCACACAUUGGGUUCUCCUCACCUGACUCUGGUUAUCUCCUUCCCAGAUUAUCAUCAGAUCUGCUUCAGAUUAGGGUUUCAGGAUCCCUAUGUUUCCAUCAAUUUCUUCCGAAUUCCCCAUUCCACUUUCAAUUCUCACCGCCAAAUCUUCUCCAACUCGUAAUAUUUCCUCUUUGCAAAUUCGUUUUCUUCGAAUCUGAGAAAAAUGGAGACACAGAGGAUCACAGAAUUUCCACACAAGAACAUGGACAAACGCCCGAGGAAACGUCCUCGCUUGACCUGGGACAUGCCUCCUCCCCUUCCCCCUCCCAAGGUUGUUUCUUUGCCUUUGCUUGUGAAUCUUCAUGUUGUGCAGGUUGUUCCGGGGAUGUAUUGCAGUCAGGAGUUUGUGUCUAACUACCCCUACUCGUCUCUUUUCUACAAGGGAGUCACUCGCAAUGGAUCACCGCCUUGGAGGCCUGAUGAUAAGGACGGCCAUUAUAUUUUUGCCAUUGGAGAAAAUUUAACUCCGAGAUACAGGAUUAUCAGCAAGAUGGGUGAAGGGACAUUUGGGCAAGUGCUGGAAUGCUUUGACAAUGACAAGAAAGAAGUUGUGGCAAUUAAAAUUGUUCGUUCAAUACAUAAGUACCGUGAAGCUGCAAUGAUUGAAAUUGAUGUGCUACAGAAGCUUGCCAGGCAUGAUGUUGGAGGCACUCGUUGUGUGCAAAUACGGAAUUGGUUUGACUAUCGUAAUCAUAUUUGUAUUGUCUUUGAGAAGCUUGGACCAAGCUUAUACGAUUUUCUCCGCAAAAACAGCUACCGUUCUUUUCCUAUUGAUCUUGUUCGGGAGCUUGGCAGACAACUUUUGGAGUCUGUAGCAUUUAUGCAUGAUUUACGCCUUAUCCACACUGAUCUGAAGCCAGAAAAUAUUCUUCUUGUUUCUUCAGAUUACAUCAAAGUGCCAGAUUAUAAGUUUCUAUCACGGACUAUUAAAGAUGGUUCCUAUUUCAAGAAUCUGCCUAAGUCAAGCGCCAUUAAGCUCAUUGAUUUUGGGAGUACAACAUUUGAACACCAGGAUCACAACUAUGUGGUGUCAACAAGACAUUACCGUGCACCAGAGGUUAUUUUGGGCCUUGGAUGGAACUACCCUUGUGAUCUAUGGAGUGUAGGAUGCAUACUUAUUGAACUUUGCUCAGGGGAGGCCCUUUUCCAAACACAUGAGAACUUGGAACAUCUUGCAAUGAUGGAGAGGGUGUUGGGACCUCUGCCCCAACAUAUGGUGCUGAGAGCUGACCGCCGUGCUGAGAAAUAUUUCAGGAGAGGUGCACGAUUAGAUUGGCCCGAGGGCGCAACCUCUAGAGAAAGCAUGAGAGCAGUUUGGAAAUUGCCCCGUCUUCAGAACCUUGUAAUGCAGCAUGUGGAUCACUCUGCUGGUGAUCUGAUUGAUCUCUUGCAAGGGCUGCUAAGAUAUGACCCAGCGGAGCGGCUUAAAGCAAGGGAAGCUCUCAGACAUCCUUUUUUCACAAGGGAUGCGAGAAGAUGUGGCUACCCCUUGUAAUUGAAAGCCAUCGACCACAAUUAGCAUAAAGCCACUGCAUAAAGAGAUUGAUUCAUGUGUUCUCCCAGUCUGAUCCCACCUCUUUCCUCUCUAUCAAAGGCUGGUCGCCCGUGGGUUACCCUGUAAGCCCUCUCUUUAUCCCUGGUCUCCAUGUCAAAGGAAGUUGGGUGUUUCAAGUCCAAAGGCGCGUAAUUACUCGUCGGAGCGGAUUUUUAGAGAAAGCCAAAGGCGAGACGGGACAAACUUGUACAGGUUAGUGACAAUCAAGAGAUAAUUUAAAUGUUUUUAUUAACGGUUUCUUCAUAACGAUUAACGGCUUAAUGUCAAUUCUUAAAAGGAACAUUAAGUUAAUUAAAUAACAAAUUCUUCCGGUACUUCUUUCAUAGAUAGACGGAUAUUUUUAUUUUUCCAACAUUCCAACAAGUUUUACUGAAAUGUCGUGGGUUCUCGAAGUCUGUAAAAUUGUUUAAGAUAUCACCAAAGACUUUGAAUAAAAAAAAUUGUGUAAAUUUGUUUGAAAAAUCAUCAUGAAUUCUUCCUUUUUCUUUUUAAUAUAUAAAUUAUAAUGUUUUUUUAGAAAUUAGAAUGGAAAGAGAUUCCGAUGGAAGAAGGAUAAGGUUCUGAUUUAGCUCAAAAAUAUUUUUAAGUCGUUCCUUAUAACUCUUUAACUUUUUCUCUCUUUUGUUAAAGAUCUUUUAUGAUUUGAAUUCAGCACUUAGGUUUUUGGAAAAGAAAAUCGGUUGAGGUUUUGUUUAUUACAUGGAAAAAGCUCAAAUAUGAUUAUUUCUACAGAAAAUUACAUAGGGAAAAGCCCUCAUGUGCUUGAUUUUUGGAGAAUAAGUUGAUUUUGUGUAAAUAUAUUUUCACAUUGGCGGGAACAACCAAGAGGGCUUGAUUUUUGCACUUUAGUAUGCCACAUGUAACCCUUUAGUUAUUUAGUUAAUUAGCAUUUGAUCUGAGUAGAGUUAGUGCAAAAUGCCAAAUGUCCAAUCAUUUUGAUGUUAUUUUCUGUCAUAUUACUAUUUUUAUAUCUUGAUUAUUUUCCAUGAAAAGUGAAAAAAAGAAAA